CAUGUAGGCGGGCUUUUAAGUCCGACGUGAAAAUGCGGGGCUUAACCCCGUAUGGCGUUGGAUACUGGAAGUCUUGAGUGCAGGAGAGGAAAGGGGAAUUCCUAGUGUAGCGGUGAAAUGCGUAGAUAUAUGGAAGAACACCAGUGGCGAAGGCGGCUUACUGGACUGCAACUGACGUUGAGGCUCGAAAGUGUGGGUAGCAAACA
This 206-nucleotide ribosomal RNA is filed under the name uncultured bacterium. RNAcentral describes it as "partial 16S ribosomal RNA". It matches the Rfam family "Bacterial small subunit ribosomal RNA", at positions 568 to 774 of the family's 1533-position model. The record is from RNAcentral.